CUGCUUUCCUCACGUUCGAUCAGUCAUUGCUCCACGUUCUAACGUUGGAUGCAAAGUGGGGGGUUCCUGUGUUGCCUACCUAUUGAGAUGGAAAUCGGUUGCCUUUGUUGUGCCUUUCGUCCUCGCGUCCUCUUGGAUGUUCGGAUGGACUAGACGGAAGUGCUCAUGUUCCACGGACGUCUCACAUGAUUGUUUCGAUGGACCAUGAACGUCUUCUCGUUCUCUCGGAUGCGGAAAGUCUCUCAUGGGCGUGGGUCAUUGGCCCUCGGUCCCGAAUCUGUAAGCGAUCGUAUCGCUUUACAUGGGAAUGACGCUCUUGCCUCGUUUUCGACCAUGCGGAGUGGACGGCAAACGCUCCCGUGAUGGAUCGUGCGUGGCGGACGUCGGGAAGGAAUGCUACCUGGUUGAUCCUGCCAGUAGUCAUAUGCUUGUCUCAAAGAUUAAGCCAUGCAUGUGUAAGUAUGAACUAAUUCAGACUGUGAAACUGCC
This 489-nucleotide unclassified non-coding RNA is filed under the name Taxandria linearifolia. RNAcentral's name for it is "partial contains external transcribed spacer and 18S ribosomal RNA". The stretch from base 398 to 489 matches the Rfam family "Eukaryotic small subunit ribosomal RNA", at positions 1 to 91 of the family's 1831-position model. The record is from RNAcentral. Lineage: Eukaryota; Viridiplantae; Streptophyta; Magnoliopsida; Myrtales; Myrtaceae.